This 497-nucleotide ribosomal RNA is filed under the name uncultured bacterium. RNAcentral's name for it is "partial 16S ribosomal RNA". It matches the Rfam family "Bacterial small subunit ribosomal RNA", at positions 28 to 507 of the family's 1533-position model. The record is from RNAcentral.
GAUGAACGCUGGCGGCGUGCCUAAUACAUGCAAGUCGAGCGAACAGACGAGGAGCUUGCUCCUCUGACGUUAGCGGCGGACGGGUGAGUAACACGUGGAUAACCUACCUAUAAGACUGGGAUAACUUCGGGAAACCGGAGCUAAUACCGGAUAAUAUAUUGAACCGCAUGGUUCAAUAGUGAAAGACGGUUUUGCUGUCACUUAUAGAUGGAUCCGCGCCGCAUUAGCUAGUUGGUAAGGUAACGGCUUACCAAGGCAACGAUGCGUAGCCGACCUGAGAGGGUGAUCGGCCACACUGGAACUGGGACACGGUCCAGACUCCUACGGGAGGCAGCAGUAGGGAAUCUUCCGCAAUGGGCGAAAGCCUGGCGGAGCAACGCCGCGUGAGUGAUGAAGGUCUUCGGAUCGUAAAACUCUGUUAUGAGGGAAGAACAAAUGUGUAAGUAACUAUGCACGUCUUGACGGUACCUAAUCAGAAAGCCACGGCUAACUACGUG